AUAAAACGAGUGAAAAACUCGUUCGCCGGAAGACCAAGGGUUCCUGUCCAACGUUAAUCGGGGCAGGGUGAGUCGGCCCCUAAGGCGAGGCUGAAAAGCGUAGUCGAUGGGAAACGGGUUAAUAUUCCCGUACUUGGUAUAACUGCGAUGUGGGGACGGAGAAGGUUAGGUUAUCGCACUGUUGGAUGUGCGUUUAAGCCGGUAGGUGGGUGUUUUAGGCAAAUCCGGAACACCAUUCAACACCGAGAAGUGAUGACGAGGUUCUACGGAACUGAAGUAACCGAUACCACGCUUC
RNAcentral lists this ribosomal RNA (295 nucleotides) under Xanthomonas citri pv. citri. RNAcentral describes it as "partial 23S ribosomal RNA". It matches the Rfam family "Bacterial large subunit ribosomal RNA", at positions 1312 to 1608 of the family's 2925-position model. The record is from RNAcentral. Lineage: Bacteria; Pseudomonadati; Pseudomonadota; Gammaproteobacteria; Lysobacterales; Lysobacteraceae.